This 251-nucleotide ribosomal RNA is filed under the name uncultured prokaryote. Its description in RNAcentral is "partial 16S rRNA". It matches the Rfam family "Bacterial small subunit ribosomal RNA", at positions 525 to 775 of the family's 1533-position model. The record is from RNAcentral.
AAGGAAGGUCAAGGCGUUAUCCGGAUUUAUUGGGUUUAAAGGGAGCGUAGGACGUUUGGAAAGCGGGCAGUGAAAUGCAGAGGAUCAACCUCUGACUUGCUGUUCGAACUGCCGGGCUUGAGUACGCACGAGGUAGGCGGAAUUUGUGGUGUAGCGGUGAAAUGCUUAGAUAUCACAAAGAACUCCAAUUGCGAAGGCAGCUUACCGGAGCGCAACUGACGCUGAAGCUCGAAAGUUCGGGUAUCGAUCAG